Molecule: ribosomal RNA, 1495 nt
Filed under: uncultured bacterium
Lineage: Bacteria
Description: bacterial SSU rRNA
Rfam family: Bacterial small subunit ribosomal RNA
Source: RNAcentral
AGAGUUUGAUCCUGGCUCAGAUUGAACGCUGGCGGCAUGCCUUACACAUGCAAGUCGAACGGCAGCACGGGGGCAACCCUGGUGGCGAGUGGCGAACGGGUGAGUAACAUAUCGGAACGUGCCCUGGAGUGGGGGAUAACUAGUCGAAAGAUUAGCUAAUACCGCAUACGAUCUACGGAUGAAAGUGGGGGAUCGCAAGACCUCAUGCUCGUGGAGCGGCCGAUAUCUGAUUAGCUAGUUGGUGGGGUAAAGGCCUACCAAGGCAUCGAUCAGUAGCUGGUCUGAGAGGACGACCAGCCACACUGGGACUGAGACACGGCCCAGACUCCUACGGGAGGCAGCAGUGGGGAAUUUUGGACAAUGGGCGCAAGCCUGAUCCAGCAAUGCCGCGUGAGUGAAGAAGGCCUUCGGGUUGUAAAGCUCUUUUGUCAGGGAAGAAACGGCGGGGGCUAAUAUCCCUUGCUAAUGACGGUACCUGAAGAAUAAGCACCGGCUAACUACGUGCCAGCAGCCGCGGUAAUACGUAGGGUGCAAGCGUUAAUCGGAAUUACUGGGCGUAAAGCGUGCGCAGGCGGUUGUGCAAGACCGAUGUGAAAUCCCCGGGCUUAACCUGGGAAUGGCAUUGGUGACUGCACGGCUAGAGUGUGUCAGAGGGGGGUAGAAUUCCACGUGUAGCAGUGAAAUGCGUAGAGAUGUGGAGGAAUACCGAUGGCGAAGGCAGCCCCUGGGAUAACACUGACGCUCAUGCACGAAAGCGUGGGGAGCAAACAGGAUUAGAUACCCUGGUAGUCCACGCCCUAAACGAUGUCAACUAGUUGUCGGGUCUUAAUUGACUUGGUAACGCAGCUAACGCGUGAAGUUGACCGCCUGGGGAGUACGGUCGCAAGAUUAAAACUCAAAGGAAUUGACGGGGACCCGCACAAGCGGUGGAUGAUGUGGAUUAAUUCGAUGCAACGCGAAAAACCUUACCUACCCUUGACAUGGCAGGAAUCCCGGAGAGAUUCGGGAGUGCUCGAAAGAGAACCUGCACACAGGUGCUGCAUGGCUGUCGUCAGCUCGUGUCGUGAGAUGUUGGGUUAAGUCCCGCAACGAGCGCAACCCUGGUCAUUAGUUGCUACGAAAGGGCACUCUAAUGAGACUGCCGGUGACAAACCGGAGGAAGGUGGGGAUGACGUCAAGUCCUCAUGGCCCUUAUGGGUAGGGCUUCACACGUCAUACAAUGGUACAUACAGAGGGCCGCCAACCCGCGAGGGGGAGCUAAUCCCAGAAAGUGUAUCGUAGUCCGGAUUGCAGUCUGCAACUCGACUGCAUGAAGUUGGAAUCGCUAGUAAUCGCGGAUCAGCAUGUCGCGGUGAAUACGUUCCCGGGUCUUGUACACACCGCCCGUCACACCAUGGGAGCGGGUUUUACCAGAAGUAGGUAGCUUAACCGCAAGGAGGGCGCUUACCACGGUAGGAUUCGUGACUGGGGUGAAGUCGUAACAAGGUAACCGUAA